GACGAACGCUAGCGGCGUGCUUAACACAUGCAAGUCGAACGGGCCUUGUCCCCUUUUUUUUUGGGGGUGGGGUUAGUGGCGAACGGGUGAGUAACACGUGAGUAACCUGCCCCUCACUUCUGGAUAACCGCUUGAAAGGGUGGCUAAUACGGGGUGUUCUGGCCUGCUCGCAUGGGUGGGUUUGGAAAGAUUCGACCGGUUUUGGUUGUUUUGGUGGGGGAUGGGCUCGCGGCCUAUCAGCUUGUUGGUGGGGUGAUGGCCUGCCAAGGCUUUGACGGGUAGCCGGCCUGAGAGGGUGGGCGGUCACACUGGGACUGAGACACGGCCCAGACUCCUACGGGAGGCAGCAGUUGGGAAUAUUGCACAAUGGGCGCAAGCCUGAUGCAGCGACGCCGCGUGAGGGAUGGAGGCCGUCGGGUUGUGAACCUCUUUCGCCAGUGAAGAAGGUCCUGCUCUUUGUGGUGGGGUUGACGGUAGCUGGGUUAAUGAAGCGCCGGCUAACUACGUG
Molecule: ribosomal RNA, 508 nt
Filed under: uncultured bacterium
Lineage: Bacteria
Description: partial 16S ribosomal RNA
Rfam family: Bacterial small subunit ribosomal RNA
Source: RNAcentral